AGUUCCCCUUUAAGUGUAAUGAGGUCCAGUUCCAGUCUGCCUUUAUUUCUCUUAUAAGCAGCUCUGAUCAGCUUCUGCUGUGCAACAAUUUCUGCCUCUUUUUUCCCUUCUGCUUAUAGGCCUCAGACAGCUGCUGCAGGAUAGGAGCAAUAUCCUUAUGACUGGGUAGCUGGGGGUUUACAUCAGUGGGUGCACCCAUUCUCCUUUGUGCAGUUGGUUCAUAUGUUGCACUUAAAUCACUGGAGUCCUGGGAUUUCUGCUCCCCUUCUGAAUCCUCAGCCUCAUUGUCUGUAUCAGGCAUCACAUUCCCAACAGCAACAGCUGAGCUUCCCUGAUUCCCUCUAGUGGCUGCAGUCAGUUGGGCAGGUAAAGAGUUAAGCUGAGAGUUGGGUUCAGGUGUCUCGUAUCUACAGGAUCCUGAGCAGUGGAUUCCCCGGUCUGUGAAACUUCAGCAGCCCCAGAUCUGACAGUUUGGGACAAAAUAGCAGCUUCUCCCUUUCCAGCUGGACAUUUCCCUGCAGCACAGUCUUCAAGGGGUGUUUCUGGCACGAUAUAUGUAUCACCCCAAGUCUGACUUAUUUGGCUGCCAGAAUAGAUGCCUACAGGGGAUGAUGGGAGUUGUAGUUCAUGCACAGACACGCCUCCACCCUGUGGUUCCCCAUAACAUGUGCCUUUAGCAUCCAGUUUGGCUUCAGCCCCCACUGUAACACCAGAAGAUGAAGCCCCCAGAGAUGCAGAGCGCUGGUGUUUUCUGCUUUUGGGAAGAGGGGAUUUAGUACUCACCAGAACGCAAGUCUUCCAUGCGCGAGACCUUUAAACGUUGUUCUACGAAAAUGAAAGGUAGUUCAGAGAUCUGAUGGGAAAAUGAUAGAGUAUAAUUUCAGGAAAGCCAGAGCUGAACAUUAAUCCCUCUAUGGACGGCCAGAGAGUGCAAUGAAAGACUUGCAUGGAAGCUUUAUGUCCCUUGUAAUCAAUAUUCAUAUGUUAAGAGUCGGAAUUUGAUAUAAAUAUUCAUGUAUUUUCUAUGUUUCAUAAUGUCCCCUGAAAUGACUAAUGUACUUUUACCACUAAUUCAAAAUGAUCAUUAUAUUAAAAUAAAAUCUUUUUUUAAAAAUU
Long non-coding RNA from Xenopus laevis (African clawed frog), 1116 nucleotides. RefSeq lists it as uncharacterized. The record is from RefSeq and is a predicted model, not a curated record. The transcript has 3 exons. Lineage: Eukaryota; Metazoa; Chordata; Amphibia; Anura; Pipidae.